AUUGAACGCUGGCGGCAGGCCUAACACAUGCAAGUCGAACGGUAACAGGAAACAGCUUGCUGUUUCGCUGACGAGUGGCGGACGGGUGAGUAAUGUCUGGGAAACUGCCUGAUGGAGGGGGAUAACUACUGGAAACGGUAGCUAAUACCGCAUAACGUCGCAAGACCAAAGAGGGGGACCCUCGGGCCUCUUGCCAUCGGAUGUGCCCAGAUGGGAUUAGCUUGUUGGUGGGGUAACGGCUCACCAAGGCGACGAUCCCUAGCUGGUCUGAGAGGAUGACCAGCCACACUGGAACUGAGACACGGUCCAGACUCCUACGGGAGGCAGCAGUGGGGAAUAUUGCACAAUGGGCGCAAGCCUGAUGCAGCCAUGCCGCGUGUAUGAAGAAGGCCUUCGGGUUGCAAAGUACUUUCAGCGGGGAGGAAGGGAGUAAAGUUAAUACCUUUGCUCAUUGACGUUACCCGCAGAAGAAGCACCGGCUAACUCCGUG
RNAcentral lists this ribosomal RNA (490 nucleotides) under uncultured bacterium. Its description in RNAcentral is "partial 16S ribosomal RNA". It matches the Rfam family "Bacterial small subunit ribosomal RNA", at positions 30 to 507 of the family's 1533-position model. The record is from RNAcentral.